This 253-nucleotide ribosomal RNA is filed under the name uncultured bacterium. RNAcentral's name for it is "partial 16S ribosomal RNA". It matches the Rfam family "Bacterial small subunit ribosomal RNA", at positions 524 to 776 of the family's 1533-position model. The record is from RNAcentral.
UACGAACUGUGCAAACGUUAUUCGGAAUCACUGGGCUUACAGGGUGCGUAGGCGGCUUGUUAAGUAGGGUGUGAAAGCCCCCGGCUCAACCGGGGAAUUGCGCCCUAAACUGGCGAGCUGGAGUGAGAUAGGGGUGUGUGGAACUUCCGGUGGAGCGGUGAAAUGUGUUGAUAUCGGGAGGAACAUCCGUGGCGAAGGCGACUACCUGGACCAGCACUGACACUGAGGCACGAAAGCCAGGGGAGCAAACGGG